Molecule: non-coding RNA, 401 nt
Organism: Poecilia reticulata (guppy)
Lineage: Eukaryota; Metazoa; Chordata; Actinopteri; Cyprinodontiformes; Poeciliidae
Source: RefSeq, a predicted model, not a curated record
AAGGAGAAUCCCGCAAAGGAAGCAGGUCGCGCAGCCAGAAUCCUCCGGUAAAUAUUUAGAAAACAGUGAAAGGUUUUCUUCUUCUGCUACUUUUCUAACGCACAGCACACGAAUGAGCGCAUGGUGCGGGGCUUUUCUGCUCGUCCGGUUCCCGGUCGGUGUGAAGCUGAGUGAAGAGCCGCGGCGGAGACUCGGAAGCGGGACUCCUCUCUCUGAUGUGAUGAUGGAGCGGAAAGCGCUCUGAGAUGAAGUGCAACGCAUCCCCCCCGCCUGCGUCCUGCUGGAACGUCGCUGACUGCCGCAUGCGCUGCCACGUGAAGGCUGCGUAACCGAGAGCGCGGCGUAUCAUGACUCUCGCCCAAUGAUCACUGGAGACCAGGGAUCGUGCAGGGAUAGACGGG